GAUGAACGCUGGCGGCGUGCCUAAUACAUGCAAGUCGAGCGAACAGACGAGGAGCUUGCUCCUUUGACGUUAGCGGCGGACGGGUGAGUAACACGUGGAUAACCUACCUAUAAGACUGGGAUAACUUCGGGAACCGGAGCUAAUACCGGAUAAUAUAUUGAACCGCAUGGUUCAAUAGUGAAAGACGGUUUUGCUGUCACUUAUAGAUGGAUCCGCGCCGCAUUAGCUAGUUGGUAAGGUAACGGCUUACCAAGGCAACGAUGCGUAGCCGACCUGAGAGGGUGAUCGGCCACACUGGAACUGAGAUACGGUCCAGACUCCUACGGGAGGCAGCAGUAGGGAAUCUUCCGCAAUGGGCGAAAGCCUGACGGAGCAACGCCGCGUGAGUGAUGAAGGUCUUCGGAUCGUAAAACUCUGUUAUUAGGGAAGAACAAAUGUGUAAGUAACUAUGCACGUCUUGACGGUACCUAAUCAGAAAGCCACGGCUAACUACGUG
This 496-nucleotide ribosomal RNA is filed under the name uncultured bacterium. RNAcentral's name for it is "partial 16S ribosomal RNA". It matches the Rfam family "Bacterial small subunit ribosomal RNA", at positions 28 to 507 of the family's 1533-position model. The record is from RNAcentral.